GGCCCAGUGCGGUAACGCAAACCAGCUCGGAGACGCCGAUGCGAGCCCCGGGAAGAGUUUUCUUUUCUCUGUAAGGAGAUCGAGUCCCUGGAAUGGGUUCGCCCCGAGAUAGGGAUGGUGGCUCCGUAGAGCAGUGCGGUUCUUGCGCUGUCCGGUGCGCUCGCGUCGGCCCUUGAAAAUCCGAGUGAGGGAGUGUGAUUUUCGUGCCGGACCGUACCCACAUCCGCAGCAGGUCUCCAAGGUGAACAGCCUCUAGUCGAUGGACCAAUGUAGGUAAGGGAAGUCGGCAAAACGGAUCCGUAACCUUGGGAUAAGGAUUGGCUCUGAGGACUGAGCCGGUCGGGCUGGGGACCUGAAGCAGGAACGGCACUGCACCGGGACUGGGCGGGGUUCGCCGUUCACGCGGCGCGGCCAAGCCCGGACCAGCGUCGGGACCUUCCUGUGGAAAGCCUCAGCUGCGCGGCGUCUGAGGGCUUCGUGCCCAAAGUGCUAUGCUUCGGCCGGCAAAAAACAGUCAACUCAGAACUGGCACGGACCGGGGGAAUCCGACUGUCUAAUUAAAACAAAGCAUUGCGAUGGCCGCUGGUCGGUGUUGACGCAAUGUGAUUUCUGCCCAGUGCUCUGAAUGUCAACGUGAAGAAAUUCAUCAAAGCGCGGGUAAACGGCGGGAGUAACUAUGACUGACCAUAAAGUUCGGACCUUGACUAUGGAUCACGGUAGAGCCUCCGACUUCCCACGGGAUGUGUACCUCCUCGAUGGUACCGCUGGAAACGGUUGU
RNAcentral lists this non-coding RNA (778 nucleotides) under Ixodes scapularis (black-legged tick). Its description in RNAcentral is "Eukaryotic large subunit ribosomal RNA". It matches the Rfam family "Eukaryotic large subunit ribosomal RNA", at positions 1633 to 2283 of the family's 3401-position model. The record is from Rfam by way of RNAcentral. Lineage: Eukaryota; Metazoa; Arthropoda; Arachnida; Ixodida; Ixodidae.